Molecule: ribosomal RNA, 215 nt
Filed under: archaeon enrichment culture DGGE gel band B14
Lineage: Archaea
Description: partial 16S ribosomal RNA
Rfam family: Archaeal small subunit ribosomal RNA
Source: RNAcentral
UUCGGGUGAGGGCUCCACUGAGGAGACCGCCGAUGCUAAGGAGGAAGAAGGAGUGGACAACGGUACGUCAUGAUGCCCCGAAUCUGCCGGGCUACCCUGGUACUAUGAUGGUGGGAACGAUGGAAACCUACACCGAAAUGUGAAGGAAAUCUNUUAACUGCAACUCUAGUUCAUAUUGAGGGCUGCAACUCGCCCUCAUGAACAUGGAAUCCGUA